Molecule: ribosomal RNA, 423 nt
Filed under: uncultured bacterium
Lineage: Bacteria
Description: partial 16S ribosomal RNA
Rfam family: Bacterial small subunit ribosomal RNA
Source: RNAcentral
AAUCUUCCGCAAUGGACGCAAGUCUGACGGAGCAACGCCGCGUGAGUGAGGAAGGUUUUCGGAUCGUAAAACUCUGUUGUUAGAGCAGAACAAGUACCGUUUGAACAAGGCGGUACCUUGACGGUAUCUAACGAGAAAGCCCCGGCUAACUACGUGCCAGCAGCCGCGGUAAUACGUAGGGGGCAAGCGUUGUCCGGAAUUAGUGGGCGUAAAGCGCGCGCAGGCGGUCUUUUAAGUCUGAUGUGAAAUCUCGCGGCUCAACCGCGAGCGGUCAUUGGAAACUGGGAGACUUGAGUAUAGGAGAGGAAAGUGGAAUUCCACGUGUAGCGGUGAAAUGCGUAGAGAUGUGGAGGAACACCAGUGGCGAAGGCGACUUUCUGGCCUAUAACUGACGCUGAGGCGCGAAAGCGUGGGGAGCAAACA